GACAGAGGUCCCGAGCGUUAGGCGGAAUCACUGGGCUUAAAGCGUGUGUAGGCGGAUGCCUAAGUACCUUGUGAAAUCCCACGGCUUAACCGUGGAACUGCUCGGUAUACUGGGUGUCUUGAGCCACUUAGGGGCUACCGGAACAAAUGGUGGAGCGGUGAAAUGCGUAGAUAUCAUUUGGAACGCCAAUGGUGAAAACAGGUAGCUGGGAGUGUGCUGACGCUGAGACACGAAAGCUAGGGUAGCGAACGGG
RNAcentral lists this ribosomal RNA (253 nucleotides) under uncultured bacterium. Its description in RNAcentral is "partial 16S ribosomal RNA". It matches the Rfam family "Bacterial small subunit ribosomal RNA", at positions 524 to 776 of the family's 1533-position model. The record is from RNAcentral.